UACGGAGGGGGCUAGCGUUGUUCGGAGUUACUGGGCGUAAAGCGCACGUAGGCGGACCAGCAAGUUAGGGGUGAAAUCCCGGGGCUCAACCCCGGAACUGCCUUUAAAACUGUUGGUCUGGAGGUCGAGAGAGGUGAGUGGAAUUCCGAGUGUAGAGGUGAAAUUCGUAGAUAUUCGGAGGAACACCAGUGGCGAAGGCGGCUCACUGGCUCGAUACUGACGCUGAGGUGCGAAAGCGUGGGGAGCAAACAGG
RNAcentral lists this ribosomal RNA (253 nucleotides) under uncultured bacterium. Its description in RNAcentral is "partial 16S ribosomal RNA". It matches the Rfam family "Bacterial small subunit ribosomal RNA", at positions 524 to 776 of the family's 1533-position model. The record is from RNAcentral.